AGAAAACGCGAGGAGGGAUAAUACGACUUUUAACAAGAGUCUGGUAACCCUGGCGUCGUGCUGGUGGCGAGGCCCCUAUGGCAGGAGGUGGAGGAGGCAGGAGAUGAUUCAGUGAGGGAAGGGAAGGCCGGAUUGUCCUACUCGGGGCUUUUCGGAGGAUAGAAAGCGAGGAGGAGGAUAGAAAAAAUUAUAUUCCGGUCUGUCCUCGCGUAACUGCCAAGGAGGAAAGUGAUAAGUGAAUUGAAAGAAAGAAAAUAGGAAAGGAAUUACAAACCAAAAAAGUGACUUAGCUGAUAUUCCC
This is a non-coding RNA of Penaeus vannamei (Pacific white shrimp), 301 nucleotides long. Lineage: Eukaryota; Metazoa; Arthropoda; Malacostraca; Decapoda; Penaeidae. The record is from RefSeq and is a predicted model, not a curated record.